UUUCCCUCUUUGUCACCCAGGCUGGAGUGCAAUGGCGCGAUCUUGGCUCACUGUAACCUCUGCCUCCUGGGUUCAAGCAAUUCUCCUGUCUCAGCCUCCUGAAGUACUGCCUGCCACCACACCCAGCUAAUUGUUUUGUAUUUUUAGUUGAGAUGGGGUUUCACCAUGUUGGCCAGGCUGGUCUUGAACUCCUGACCUCAGGUGAUCCAUCCGCCUUGGCCUCCCAAAGUGCUAGGAUUACAGGUGUGAGCCACUGCUCCCGGCCUGUGUCUCGCUCCUUUCACUUAAUAUGAUGUUUUCAAGGUCUAUCCAUUUUGUAACAUUCUCAGUACGCCCUUCCUUUUUCUAGCUAAAUGAUAUUACACUGUAUGGAUAUACCAUAUUUUGUUUUUCCAUUCAUCAGUUGAUAAACAUUUGAGAUGUUUCCACUUUUUGGUUGUUAUGAAUAAUUCUGGGAAUAUUUGUAUACAAGCUUUUGUGUGUACAUAUGUUUUGGGUUCUCUUGGGUGCACCUAGGAGUGGAAUUGCUAGGUAAUACAGUAAAUGUAUGUUUAACAUUUUAGGAACUUCUGGACUGUUUUCCAAAGUGGCUGCACUAUUUUCUGUCCUCACUGGCAAAUGUAUGAGGAUUUUUAUUUCUCCACAUCCUUAUCAAUACUUUCUUGUCAAUACUUUUGAUCGGUGUCUCAUUGUGAUGUUAAUUUGCCUAGAUUGAGUGAUUUUUGGUGCAUUUGGUUUAGUUGGUUUCACUUCAUUUAACGAAUGCCUUUUUAGUGUCAUAAAAAUUAGGAGCUGAAAUGAAUAAUACAUAGUCCUUCCUUGCAAGGAGCUCAUGGUUCCUUCGGGAAGACAGACAGCAAACAGUGACAGUACAUCUUGUUAAGUUCUCCCUCUUGUUAAGAAGGGAGUCGAGGACAAGAUGCUCUGGGGAGCAGAGAAGAGGAACACUUAACCCUGCUUGAAGGGUGGGAAAACAUGUAAGAAUGGAGGCUCCCCCCUCCCUUGCAGGUGCCGCUCAAGAACCACUCUCUCCAAGAUGUUUUCCUGGAUUUCCUCAGCCUAAAAUAAUCCCUCUUUUUCCUGGUUGUCUGGAACCCAAUCCACAACAUCUUCAAGACUAUACAGGAAGCAUGGUGCUGGCAUCUGCUCAGAUUCUGUGGAGGCCUCAGGAAACUCAAUCACAGCAGAAGGUGAAGGGGAAGCAGGCAUGUCUUAUAUGGCUGGAGCAGGAGGAAGAGGGGAGGAGAAGCAGCAGCAGACACGGAUGCGUAAUUGGUCUUGUACUUCCAGUCUUGGCAAGAUGGCAUAGACUCAUUUCUCCCUGCCUCUCCCAGGGAACUCCAGGAGCAUGUGAGGAAUAA
RNAcentral lists this long non-coding RNA (1361 nucleotides) under Callithrix jacchus (white-tufted-ear marmoset). RNAcentral describes it as "lncRNA (ENSCJAG00000086300.1)". Lineage: Eukaryota; Metazoa; Chordata; Mammalia; Primates; Cebidae. The record is from RNAcentral.